ACAGACAAGCCAUAGGUCACUCAGGAGCCGCCAGCGUGUCCUAGAGCUCCUGCAGAGGCCUCCACUGCCAGAGAGCCCCCAACCUGGGUACCAAAGGCUUCAAAUCUCAAGCUCUGUCCACUUGAGCUACUUUAUUUCCUAGCUGCCUUCAAAACCCCUCAGUGUGCUUUUUAAAAACAAAACUUGAAGCCCGCCCUGGAGGAGUCAAGAGGAGACCCAGGAAGAAGGAGGCCUCCAGAGCAGCACGCGGGGGUCUCUGGGGCCCUGCCGGGCUCGCAGAAGCGACUCCCCGUGGCUCGCGGGGAUGGGGACGGCUGGGCGCCGGCGGGACGCUGCAGGAGCGAGCUACCGGCCGGAGGACACGGGGGGACGCUGGGAACUCGGGGUGAAGGGACGGGACUCAGAGUUUCGUCAGAUUGGGGGCGGGGAGAGGAGGCCCGGGUCCGAGGAUGGAAGCGAUCCCCGCCGGGAGGGAGAACAAAGCGGUGGCCCUCUCUCUCCCCCGACGCACGAUUUCAUGCACGCGAUUGUCCCAAGCAGAAGCGUGAAAGAGCCUGUGAGCCAGCGUGCUCUUGGAGGAUGGGAAGUGUCCUGGAUGUGUUUUCAAACCUUGGAGCCGCCACCCACCUCUCUCCACCUCCGCUCAUCUCCCUCCACCUCCCCUCACCUCCCUCCACCUCCCCUCACCUCCCUCCAUCUUCCUCCACCUUUCUCCACCUUCCCCCACCUCCCUCAUCCCAGGGCCUGGAGCUGGAAAGAUUACACCCGAUUGCUUUUAGGGUGGCCCGGAUCUGCAGUGAUCAGAUCUGGGCUUUGAGGAUCCAGCCUUUCGGCCUUUCGUCAACUGCAUUCAGGGGAGGAGGGGGAGAGAUUUUUACACAUUCUCUGCUUUACCAGUUUUGCAAGAACAUCUGGUCAGAUUGUAAUUGUUCCAGGUUGCAGCUUUACUAAAGCAAUCGCUCUUUUCUGAUUAGAAAUCCUUCUUGUAUGAGUCUGUUGUUCAUUUCAACCCCUCUCACAUGCCUAUGCUCCGGUUCUUUGUCCACUCCUGUAGGUUCCUGCUUUUUCUGGGUGUGUCUUCAUUCCCCAGGUCCCUGACAUCUCACCAGCGUCUUCAUUCACUCAGCCCAAUUCGGGUCGAAGCCCUGAAUCCAAGAGAACUUAACACAGUUUUCCUGAUGCAGGCGUCUUUUGUUCAUCUUCGAAUUCUGGCACACAGAGGGGAGAGGAAUGCUGAUUUUGCCUAGUUUAAAGGGGAAAUAGUUAUCAAUCGGUUAAUGACGUUCUAGGUUGGAAAAAUAUUAGUCAUUCAGACUUGGCGCCCUGGUCCUGCUCAGCAGGGCUGGCUCUUCAUGUCGUUUCUAAGCGCCAGCGCCUUGGAGGGUGCAGCUCCAGAGAUCCCUGAAAUCAGGCAUCUGCUUGGCAACUGCCUUACAGAAAUGGGGGGUGUUGUUUCUCAGCACACGGGUAAACAUUUUCUCCUAGUAAUUGUGAGAGGGCGUUGUUUUGAGCCAUUUUUGUAGUCUGCAUCUCACUUCUUUUCCCCAAAGUCAAGCACCAUCUUUUAUUUUCAUUUUCAAAGACCAGGCCCAGGAACCAUAUUCACAAGCAACAUCAUUAAAAUUUCCAGGAGCAGAAAAGUGCUAUCAUUAGGAUGAUGAUCAAACUUUAGAGUUCACAAGACUCUCCUGGGGAGCUGGUUAAUGCAGCUUCACUGGGUGGGGAAGAUCUGUGGAAGCACCUAGAAUCCUGUACCUGCUGAGAGACACCAGAUGGGUGUGAUGUGGGUGGCUCAUGACCCAUGCUUUAGGGGAUUCCACUAGACCAUCUUACUGCUUGGAUAUCAAAACUUAGCCAUGAGGCUCAGUGUGGGUGCAGGGCCAGAUUGGGGGGUACCAGGAACUUCAAAAUAUGUCACAGGAGUAGUUGCCAUACAGAAGUCAAAAAGCAUCAACUUUGGUUCCAGCCUAGACACUGCGGAAGAUGUAAGGGAAAUGGUAGAUAAAUCUUCUUCCCUUAGAAAGGCUAUUAGUUUAAACGUAAAAUCCAACAAGUUCACAGUGAAAAAUGUAACUUGCUUGAAAGACAACAGGAAUCUUAUGAAUGUGUGCUCAAGAACAUCCUACAUAGACUUAUAUAGGUCAUCCUAUAAAGGGCACAGAAUGAUGAGUAAAUAGUUUUUAAAAAUCUAAUUCAUUUUAUUAUCUUUGUAUAUUUUGAUAAUACUUUGUGCGGUCUGAUUACACUUCGAUACUUUGGAGAGCAUUAACAUAAUACAAAAUAAUACUUGAUAACCCAAAUAGUAUUUGCAAAGACCGGUAUCCAGAAAUAACAGCUCAUCUGUCCAAGGCUUUAUUCUUAAUCUUGCAUUAUGAGGAUUUAGAGGCAAAAAUUCUUUUUAAACCUCAAAUUUCUGUUACAUGUUGUAUUAGUCUGUUCUCAUAUUGGUAUAAAGAACUACCUUAGACCUGGAUAAUUUAUGAAGAAAAGAGGUUUAAUUGACUCACAGUUCUGCAGGCUGUACAGAAAGCAAGGCUGGGAGGCCUCAGGAAAUUUACAAUCAUGGCAGAAGGCAAAGGGGAAGCAAGCACGUCUUACCAUGGCAGAGCAGGAGAGAGAGAGAGCAAGGGUGUAGUGCCACAUACUUUUAAACCAUCAGAUCUUGUGAGAACUCACUCACUAUAACGAGAACAAUAUGGGAGAAAUCCACCCCCAUGAGCCAAUCACCUCCCACCAGAUCCCUCCCCCAACACUGGGAAUUACAAUUCAACAUGAGAUUUGGGUGGGGACACAGAGCCAAACCAUAUCACAUGUCUAGUGGAAUAGCUUUGGACUAGGACCUCUAUUUUUCUGUAACAAUCCAUGUUACUUUAGCCAAUGAGUCUAAGCCAAUUAUAUCAGUGUAAUAUACAUCAAUUUUCUCAUCCAUAAAAUGGAGCCACCCAUUUAUUCUCUACUGCAUAUGAUGAUGAGAUGAAUGUGAGAUAACAUGCAAGAGAAUUCUUUGCAAAAUGCUAUAAAACUGUAAG
RNAcentral lists this long non-coding RNA (3029 nucleotides) under Homo sapiens (human). RNAcentral describes it as "non-protein coding lnc-THNSL1-4:3". The record is from RNAcentral. Lineage: Eukaryota; Metazoa; Chordata; Mammalia; Primates; Hominidae.